This 676-nucleotide ribosomal RNA is filed under the name Gilbertella persicaria. Its description in RNAcentral is "partial large subunit ribosomal RNA". It matches the Rfam family "Eukaryotic large subunit ribosomal RNA", at positions 66 to 647 of the family's 3401-position model. The record is from RNAcentral. Lineage: Eukaryota; Fungi; Mucoromycota; Mucoromycetes; Mucorales; Choanephoraceae.
UAACAAUGAUUUCCCUAGUAACGGCGAGUGAACAGGAAAGAGCUCAAAGUUGGAACCUGUUUGGUUUAGCCAAACUGGAUUGUAAACUGUAGAAGUGUUUUCCUGACACGCCUGAUGAAAAAGUCCAUUGGAACAUGGUGACAUAGAGGGUGAGAGCCCCGUAUUUCGUCAGAGCUGUUGUCUUUUGUGAUACACUUUCAAAGAGUCAGGUUGUUUGGGAAUGCAGCCUAAAUUGGGUGGUAAAUCUCACCUAAAGCUAAAUAUUGGCAAAAGACCGAUAGCGAACAAGUACCGUGAGGGAAAGAUGAAAAGAACUUUGAAAAGAGAGUUAAACAGUAUGUGAAAUUGUUAAAAGGGAACCGUUUGGAGCCAGACUGGCUUGAUUGUAAUCAAUCUAGAUUUCGAUCUGGAUGCACUUGCAGUCUAUGCCUGCCAACGACAAUUCAUUCUGGAGGAAAAAACUAGGAGGAAUGUGGCCCCUCGGGGUGUUAUAGCCUUUUAGAAAAUACUCUGGAUUGGAUUGAGGAACGCAGUGGACGCUAUUUGGCGAAGUUGCUGAGUGCUUUUAUUGGUACGUGUUAGAAUUUCUGCUUUGGGUGGUGCUAGCAUUUACUGGUGAAACUCGCUUGGUAAUCUUUUUAUCCGCUUAGGUUGUUGGCUUAAUGACUCUAAAUGA